Molecule: ribosomal RNA, 722 nt
Filed under: uncultured bacterium
Lineage: Bacteria
Description: bacterial SSU rRNA
Rfam family: Bacterial small subunit ribosomal RNA
Source: RNAcentral
GCGAUCGGGAGGAAGUUUUCGGAUGGAAUCCGGAUUGACUGAGUGGCGGACGGGUGAGUAACGCGUGGGUAACCUGCCUCAUACAGGGGGAUAACAGUUAGAAAUGACUGCUAAUACCGCAUAAGCGCACAGGGACACAUGUUCCGGUGUGAAAAACUCCGGUGGUAUGAGAUGGACCCGCGUCUGAUUAGCUGGUUGGCGGGGUAACGGCCCACCAAGGCGACGAUCAGUAGCCGACCUGAGAGGGUGACCGGCCACAUUGGGACUGAGACACGGCCCAAACUCCUACGGGAGGCAGCAGUGGGGAAUAUUGCACAAUGGGGGAAACCCUGAUGCAGCAACGCCGCGUGAGUGAAGAAGUAUUUCGGUAUGUAAAGCUCUAUCAGCAGGGAAGAAGAUGACGGUACCUGAGUAAGAAGCCCCGGCUAACUACGUGCCAGCAGCCGCGGUAAUACGUAGGGGGCAAGCGUUAUCCGGAUUUACUGGGUGUAAAGGGAGCGUAGACGGUGAGACAAGUCUGAAGUGAAAGCCCGGGGGUCAACCCCGGGACUGCUUUGGAAACUGCCUGACUGGAGUGCUGGAGAGGCAAGCGGAAUUCCUAGUGUAGCGGUGAAAUGCGUAGAUAUUAGGAAGAACACCAGUGGCGAAGGCGGCUUGCUGGACAGUAACUGACGUUGAGGCUCGAAAGCGUGGGGAGCAAACAGGAUUAGAUACCCUGGUAG